This 20-nucleotide transfer RNA is filed under the name Chalcides sphenopsiformis. Its description in RNAcentral is "partial tRNA-Glu". The record is from RNAcentral. Lineage: Eukaryota; Metazoa; Chordata; Lepidosauria; Squamata; Scincidae.
UAUUCAACUACAAAAACCUA